This 774-nucleotide ribosomal RNA is filed under the name uncultured bacterium. RNAcentral's name for it is "bacterial SSU rRNA". It matches the Rfam family "Bacterial small subunit ribosomal RNA", at positions 8 to 796 of the family's 1533-position model. The record is from RNAcentral.
AGAGUUUGAUCAUGGCUCAGAAUCAACGCUGGCGGCGUGCCUCAGACAUGCAAGUCGAACGAUUAAAGCUUCCUUCGGGAAGUGCAUAAAGUGGCGCACGGGUGAGUAACACGUAAGUAAUCUACCCUCGAGUGGGGAAUAACGUUCGGAAACGGACGCUAAUACCGCAUAAUGCAGCGGCACCGCAAGGUGACAGUUGUUAAAGAUUUAUUGCUUGAGGAGGAGCUUGCGGCAGAUUAGCUUGUUGGUAAGGUAACGGCUUACCAAGGCUACGAUCUGUAUCCGGUCUAAGAGGACGGUCGGACACACUGACACUGAAUAACGGGUCAGACUCCUACGGGAGGCAGCAGUCGGGAAUUUUGGGCAAUGGGGGAAACCCUGACCCAGCAACGCCGCGUGAAGGAUGAAGUAUUUCGGUAUGUAAACUUCGAAAGAAUAGGAAGAAUUAAUGACGGUACUAUUUAUAAGGUCCGGCUAACUACGUGCCAGCAGCCGCGGUAAUACGUAGGGACCAAGCGUUGUUCGGAUUUACUGGGCGUAAAGGGCGCGUAGGCGGCGCGGUAAGUCACUUGUGAAAUCUCUGAGCUUAACUCAGAACGGCCAAGUGAUACUGCAGUGCUAGAGUGUGGAAGGGGCAAUCGGAAUUCUUGGUGUAGCGGUGAAAUGCGUAGAUAUCAAGAGGAACACCUGAGGUGAAGACGGGUUGCUGGGCCAACACUGACGCUGAGGCGCGAAAGCCAGGGGAGCAAACGGGAUUAGAUACCCUAGUAGUCC